Trichoplusia ni (cabbage looper) is the source of this 616-nucleotide long non-coding RNA. RefSeq lists it as uncharacterized. The transcript has 2 exons. The record is from RefSeq and is a predicted model, not a curated record. Lineage: Eukaryota; Metazoa; Arthropoda; Insecta; Lepidoptera; Noctuidae.
ACUUAAUUAAUAAAAAUAAAAUAACAACAUGAAAAUGAAUGCAUUGUUCUUUGUUUACGCGUGUUUUGGAACGCGCCGAAUGAACCGAACGAACCAAGAAUGAGUUCGAUUGAGGGAGAUGGGACAUACUGGCCAGUCGCUCCUAGGCUGAUGCGAGCGUGUUACCUCUGACCACUUUCCGUCCUGUCAAGCGUCCUAGCAGACACGGCCGUUAAAUUCAAAUUAAAAAAAAAAUAAGUUGAGAGUGUUCAAGUUGAAUACUUGCACUUAAUAUUGUCGUGAAGAUCCCGAAUUAGGGUUUUUUCUUCCGGCUUUAAGGAGCCAGCAGCAUCCUCGCGUUCGGGCCUGCCUACCAACCGAGGUCAUCCGAGGAGCCCGCUUCCGGCAACACCAGUCGCACGUGCGCGCCAUCUCCAUCACCGGUGAAGUCACCGUACAGCUCAGCACUGAACCUCGGCCUACUUCCAUCUCCGGCCAGCGGCGGAAUCCCGCCACAACUACAGGGGGUACCUAUCCCUGCAGAGGUGACUACAGACAAAGUUGUAAUCCACGACCCAUAAAUCUUCGUGUGCCUCCGGCUGUGUUUUUUUUUUAUAUAAUAUAAAUUUUGAAGGUA